RNAcentral lists this ribosomal RNA (527 nucleotides) under uncultured bacterium. RNAcentral's name for it is "bacterial SSU rRNA". It matches the Rfam family "Bacterial small subunit ribosomal RNA", at positions 55 to 539 of the family's 1533-position model. The record is from RNAcentral.
AUGCAAGUCGAACGAGAAAUUUUGUGUUGAAGCUUCGGCUGAUUCAUGAGAUGGAAAGUGGCGAACUGGUGAGUAAUAUAUGAGUAAUUUGCCGAAAAAUGGGGAAUAACAUUUCGAAAGAGAUGCUAAUACCGCAUAAGACCACAUUAACAUAAGUUAAAGCGGUCAAAGGGGGCCUCUCCUUGGAAGCUCUCGUUUUUCGAUAAGCUCAUGUCCUAUUAGCUUGUUGGUAGUGUUAUAGACUACCAAGGCAACGAUGGGUAGCCGGCCUGAGAGGGUGGACGGUCACACCGGGACUGAGACACUGCCCGGACUCCUACGGGAGGCUGCAGUCGAGAAUCAUUCGCAAUGGACGAAAGUCUGACGAUGCGACGCCGCGUGAGUGAUAUGAAGGCUUUCGAGUCGUAAAACUCUAUCGUGGGGAAUGAAAACUGCAGAUUUUAAUAAAAUUUAUAUUUGACAGUACUCCAAAAUGAAGCUCCGGCUAACUUCGUGCCAGCAGCCGCGGUAAUACGAAGGGAGCUAGC